Molecule: ribosomal RNA, 253 nt
Filed under: uncultured bacterium
Lineage: Bacteria
Description: partial 16S ribosomal RNA
Rfam family: Bacterial small subunit ribosomal RNA
Source: RNAcentral
UACGUAGGUGGCAAGCGUUAUCCGGAUUUAUUGGGCGUAAAGGGAACGCAGGCGGUCUUUUAAGUCUGAUGUGAAAGCCUUCGGCUUAACCGGAGUAGUGCAUUGGAAACUGGGAGACUUGAGUGCAGAAGAGGAGAGUGGAACUCCAUGUGUAGCGGUGAAAUGCGUAGAUAUACGGAAGAACACCAGUGGCGAAAGCGGCUCUCUGGUCUGUAACUGACGCUGAGGUUCGAAAGCGUGGGUAGCAAACAGG